This 468-nucleotide ribosomal RNA is filed under the name uncultured bacterium. RNAcentral's name for it is "partial 16S ribosomal RNA". It matches the Rfam family "Bacterial small subunit ribosomal RNA", at positions 28 to 507 of the family's 1533-position model. The record is from RNAcentral.
GACGAACGCUGGCGGCGUGCUUAACACAUGCAAGUCGAACGGAAAGGCCCUGCUUUUGUGGGGUGCUCGAGUGGCGAACGGGUGAGUAACACGUGAGUAACCUGCCCUUGACUUUGGGAUAACUUCAGGAAACUGGGGCUAUUACCGGAUAGGAGCUCCUGCUGCAUGGUGGUGGUUGGAAAGUUUCGGUGGUUGGGGAUGGACUCGCGGCUUAUCAGCUUGUUGGUGGGGUAGUGGCUUACCAAGGCUUUGACGGGUAGCCGGCCUGAGAGGGUGACCGGCCACAUUGGGACUGAGAUACGGCCCAGACUCCUACGGGAGGCAGCAGUGGAGAAUAUUGCACAAUGGGCGGAAGCCUGAUGCAGCAGCGCCGCGUGCGGGAUGACGGCCUUCGGGUUGUAAACCGCUUUCGCCUGUGACGAAGCGUGAGUGACGGUAAUGGGUAAAGAAGCACCGGCUAACUACGUG